CAGCUAGCCGGAGCCGGCAACGUACAGCUCGGCAGGUCGCGCAGCCGCUCCCGUGCAGGGGAAUGGAAGGCAGUCUCACGUUAAGGUGCCGGAAAAACCUAAUUUGAUGCUGAAUUCCCUAGUGACUGAGAUGAAGAGGAAUUACGUCUCGACAGUUAAGCCCAAACCUCUACUGUGGAUGUAGAGUGGAAUCUCCACCCAAGAAGGUGCAACUGUUCAAUGUCAACCCUCCAGCAGGAAGGAAGAAUGAAAGGAACAGAGGAAAGC
Long non-coding RNA from Lagenorhynchus albirostris (white-beaked dolphin), 267 nucleotides. RefSeq lists it as uncharacterized. Lineage: Eukaryota; Metazoa; Chordata; Mammalia; Artiodactyla; Delphinidae. The transcript has 4 exons. The record is from RefSeq and is a predicted model, not a curated record.